Molecule: ribosomal RNA, 296 nt
Filed under: Rhizophagus irregularis
Lineage: Eukaryota; Fungi; Glomeromycota; Glomeromycetes; Glomerales; Glomeraceae
Source: RNAcentral
CAGUCGUACCUUCGGGUAAUCAGCCUUUUGGGUGUGAUUUUGUGGAGCGUGAAGAGUUAAACGCCUUCAUGCCUGCAUAUUCGUGCACUUUGGGUGUACUUGCCCGUAUGGUUGGUUAACAUCAAUUUUGGUGGUCAUAAAAUGACUGGAGGAAUGUAGCUUUGGUCUCGUAUCGAAGUGUUAUAGACUCUGGUAGAUGUGACGAUUGGGGAUUGAGGAUUGCAACGGGAUACCCUUCGGGGCUACUCGUCUGAUCUCUGAAGGUUGCUCCGGUGCCGAAAGCGUGCUUACGGUCA